Perognathus longimembris pacificus (Pacific pocket mouse) is the source of this 153-nucleotide long non-coding RNA. RefSeq lists it as uncharacterized. The record is from RefSeq and is a predicted model, not a curated record. The transcript is spliced from 3 exons. Lineage: Eukaryota; Metazoa; Chordata; Mammalia; Rodentia; Heteromyidae.
CCAGAUGCCUCUCAAUGGGCAAAUGCAUCAAGUAAAUGUGUAUAUACUCACAAGGGAAUUUUACUCAUCCAUUAGAAUGAUGAUGUACCAUUUCAUGAGGAAAUGGAAGGACUUGGAAAAAAUUAUACUAAGUGAAGUGAGCCAGACCCAAAG